UCGCUCUUGUUUCUUUUCAAAUCGUAUAAAUCUUUCGCCUUUUACUAAAGAUUUCCGUGGAGAGGAACAACAAGAGUUUAACUCAAUUUUUUGAUGCUCUGCUUAAAUCUUGCGGGCU
Small nuclear RNA from Xiphias gladius (swordfish), 118 nucleotides. RefSeq annotates it as U5 spliceosomal RNA. Lineage: Eukaryota; Metazoa; Chordata; Actinopteri; Istiophoriformes; Xiphiidae. The record is from RefSeq and is a predicted model, not a curated record. The transcript has a single exon.